Molecule: transfer RNA, 93 nt
Filed under: Candidatus Berkelbacteria bacterium RIFOXYA2_FULL_43_10
Lineage: Bacteria; Candidatus Berkelbacteria
Description: tRNA-Ser
Rfam family: tRNA
About the family: Transfer RNA (tRNA) molecules are approximately 80 nucleotides in length. Their secondary structure includes four short double-helical elements and three loops (D, anti-codon, and T loops). Further hydrogen bonds mediate the characteristic L-shaped molecular structure. tRNAs have two regions of fundamental functional importance: the anti-codon, which is responsible for specific mRNA codon recognition, and the 3' end, to which the tRNAs corresponding amino acid is attached (by aminoacyl-tRNA synthetases). tRNAs cope with the degeneracy of the genetic code in two manners: having more than one tRNA (with a specific anti-codon) for a particular amino acid; and 'wobble' base-pairing, i.e. permitting non-standard base-pairing at the 3rd anti-codon position.
Source: RNAcentral
GGAAGGUUGCCCGAGUGGCUUAAGGGAACGGUUUGCUAAAUCGUCGGUGGUCUAAAAGCCGCCACGUGGGUUCGAAUCCCACACCUUCCGCCA